Molecule: ribosomal RNA, 900 nt
Filed under: Shigella sonnei
Lineage: Bacteria; Pseudomonadati; Pseudomonadota; Gammaproteobacteria; Enterobacterales; Enterobacteriaceae
Description: partial 23S ribosomal RNA
Rfam family: Bacterial large subunit ribosomal RNA
Source: RNAcentral
UGAACUCGCUGUGAAGAUGCAGUGUACCCGCGGCAAGACGGAAAGACCCCGUGAACCUUUACUAUAGCUUGACACUGAACAUUGAGCCUUGAUGUGUAGGAUAGGUGGGAGGCUUUGAAGUGUGGACGCCAGUCUGCAUGGAGCCGGCCUUGAAAUACCACCCUUUAAUGUUUGAUGUUCUAACGUGGACCCGUGAUCCGGGUUGCGGACAGUGUCUGGUGGGUAGUUUGACUGGGGCGGUCUCCUCCUAAAGAGUAACGGAGGAGCACGAAGGUUGGCUAAUCCUGGUCGGACAUCAGGAGGUUAGUGCAAUGGCAUAAGCCAGCUUGACUGCGAGCGUGACGGCGCGAGCAGGUGCGAAAGCAGGUCAUAGUGAUCCGGUGGUUCUGAAUGGAAGGGCCAUCGCUCAACGGAUAAAAGGUACUCCGGGGAUAACAGGCUGAUACCGCCCAAGAGUUCAUAUCGACGGCGGUGUUUGGCACCUCGAUGUCGGCUCAUCACAUCCUGGGGCUGAAGUAGGUCCCAAGGGUAUGGCUGUUCGCCAUUUAAAGUGGUACGCGAGCUGGGUUUAGAACGUCGUGAGACAGUUCGGUCCCUAUCUGCCGUGGGCGCUGGAGAACUGAGGGGGGCUGCUCCUAGUACGAGAGGACCGGAGUGGACGCAUCACUGGUGUUCGGGUUGUCAUGCCAAUGGCACUGCCCGGUAGCUAAAUGCGGAAGAGAUAAGUGCUGAAAGCAUCUAAGCACGAAACUUGCCCCGAGAUGAGUUCUCCCUGACCCUUUAAGGGUCCUGAAGGAACGUUGAAGACGACGACGUUGAUAGGCCGGGUGUGUAAGCGCAGCGAUGCGUUGAGCUAACCGGUACUAAUGAACCGUGAGGCUUAACCUUACAACGCCGAAG